This 384-nucleotide RNase P RNA is filed under the name Thalassovita sp. RNAcentral's name for it is "RNase P RNA component class A". It matches the Rfam family "Bacterial RNase P class A". Rfam says of the family: Ribonuclease P (RNase P) is a ubiquitous endoribonuclease, found in archaea, bacteria and eukarya as well as chloroplasts and mitochondria. Its best characterised activity is the generation of mature 5'-ends of tRNAs by cleaving the 5'-leader elements of precursor-tRNAs. Cellular RNase Ps are ribonucleoproteins. Lineage: Bacteria; Pseudomonadati; Pseudomonadota; Alphaproteobacteria; Rhodobacterales; Roseobacteraceae. The record is from RNAcentral.
AAUAUAAACUGUCUUAUCGCUUCUUUAAUAGAAGAGGAAAGUCCGGGCAACGCAGAGCACCACACUUCUUAACGAGAAGGGGCCUUAUGGUUACAGAAAGUGCCACAGAAAAUAUACCGCUCUUUGUAAAAAGAGUAAGGGUGAAAUGGUAGGGUAAGAGCCUACCGCUUUGUUGGUAACAACAAAGGCAGGGUAAACCUUGUGGGUUGAAAAACUAAAUAAGCUUUGUCUUUCCUGUUAACAGGAGUAGAAUUGCUCGUUCGAUGUCGUAAGAGAGCAAAGCGGGUAAGUUGAUAGACAUUCGGGGCGACCUGCAUGCCAGACAAAUGAUAAGGAUUUUACAAUUGUAAAAUACAGAACCCGGCUUAUAGGUUUGUAUUUGGU